AACCAUAGAAACCUGCGGAGUACCUGCGGAAGGAUCAUUACCGAGUUUACAACUCCCAAACCCCUGUGAACAUACCAAUUGUUGCCUCGGCGGAUCAGCCCGCUCCCGGUAAAACGGGACGGCCCGCCAGAGGACCCCUAAACUCUGUUUCUAUAAGUAACUUCUGAGUAAAACCAUAAAUAAAUCAAAACUUUCAACAAUGGAUCU
RNAcentral lists this unclassified non-coding RNA (207 nucleotides) under soil metagenome. Its description in RNAcentral is "partial contains 5.8S ribosomal RNA, internal transcribed spacer 2, and large subunit ribosomal RNA". The record is from RNAcentral.